CUGAAGUGGACAUAGUUUAAAAAACAUUAAGCUGUGGACUUAAAAAUAAAGACUCAACAAUCUUUUGUACACC
Molecule: transfer RNA, 73 nt
Filed under: Ebenavia inunguis
Lineage: Eukaryota; Metazoa; Chordata; Lepidosauria; Squamata; Gekkonidae
Description: tRNA-His
Rfam family: tRNA
About the family: Transfer RNA (tRNA) molecules are approximately 80 nucleotides in length. Their secondary structure includes four short double-helical elements and three loops (D, anti-codon, and T loops).
Source: RNAcentral